AGCGAACGCUGGCGGCGUGCCUAACACAUGCAAGUCGAACGUGAAAAGGGAAACCUGAGUAAAGUGGCGUACGGGUGAGUAACGCGUAGGUAAUCUACCCCAGAAUCUGGAAUAACCUGCCGAAAGGCGGGCUAAUACUGGAUAGAGCGAGGGAACUCGUAAGAGAGUUUUUCGGGAAAGGGAGCCCGCAAGGGCCUUCGGUCUGGGAUGAGCCUGCGUCUCAUUAGCUAGUUGGUAAGGUAACGGCUUACCAAGGCGAUGAUGAGUAGCUGGUCUGAGAGGAUGAUCAGCCACACUGGAACUGAAACACGGUCCAGACUCCUACGGGAGGCAGCAGUGGGGAAUCUUGCGCAAUGGACGAAAGUCUGACGCAGCCACGCCGCGUGAGUGAAGAAGGCCUUCGGGUUGUAAAGCUCUGUCGGAUGGGACGAACAUCUUCAUAGUGAAUAGCUAUGAGGACUGACGGUACCAGCAAAGGAAGCACCGGCUAACUCCGUG
This 498-nucleotide ribosomal RNA is filed under the name uncultured bacterium. RNAcentral's name for it is "partial 16S ribosomal RNA". It matches the Rfam family "Bacterial small subunit ribosomal RNA", at positions 29 to 507 of the family's 1533-position model. The record is from RNAcentral.